Molecule: long non-coding RNA, 2002 nt
Filed under: Homo sapiens (human)
Lineage: Eukaryota; Metazoa; Chordata; Mammalia; Primates; Hominidae
Description: CCDC26 long non-coding RNA
Source: RNAcentral
ACAGUGCUACUGGCCCAUAAUCAGGCAACUGCAGAGUCUUAGGGGGUUAUCUAAUGUAGUCUUGGGGUGGCUGGAUAGACUUCCCAAAGAAGGUGAUGCCGAAGCUGAGGUCGGAAAUUACGAAGAUCAGCUAUCAAACUUGGAAAUCAUGUCUUAGAGAUCAAGGAGCCAAGAGAUGAGACAAGCCUGGGUUCCUAGGUGAUAGGGUGUGGCUGUGUCCCCACCCAAAUCUCGUCUUGAAUUGUAGCUCCCAUAAUCCCCACAUGUUGUGGAGGGACCCUGUGGAAGAUCUUUAAUAAAUGAAAUAAAUGUGACUGUAUGUCCUACAUCCCAUUCCUGUUGUCUUCCAUGUCUCCUCAGAGGAAGGCCUGAGGAGAGAAGACACAUAGUCAUGCUGACUAAACCAGAUCACCUAGAAUUACCAAAUGGAAAGGACACUGUUGUGUCUACAGCACCAGCUGGAUGAGCAGUUGAACAUGUGAAUUCUCUCGUUCGCACCAAGCCACAGCUGACUGGACACCAAGGCUAAGCAUCUGAUUGAAAAGCGGUCCAUAGAUUAGGAGGCUGUGACUGGCAUGACCUGAGACUAACCGAGGGACCAAGGCAAUGAGAAUCCUCAAUAGGGAGUCCAUGAUUAGUAAAAUAAUAGUCAGGGUUGACCCACUUGGAAGCUGAACCCAGAGGCCCCUAGGUCGAGUCAGGACUGGGACAGAGAGUGUGGUCCCCAGAUAAGCUGAAGUUAUGACAGGGCUGGCUGGUUGCGAGGGUCUAACAGACAGGCAGAAGUCAAUAGAGAUGUUAUAAUUGGGAUUUUCUGAGAUAUUUGAGACUCACAUAUACAUACAUACACACACAUACACACACACACACACAGAGAGAGAGAGAGAGAGAGAGAGAGAGACAGAGAGAGACAGAGAGGCUUCAGGGCCUAAUUCUAGCCCAUUUAAUAUAGCUUCUCUUUAGAAAAGGCUUUGCUUGUUGUAUAUGGAGGAUAUAGAGGAGCUAUAUGGAGAACAAAGAGGAGCACAAGUUUAGGAGUACAGGUUCUAAAAUUAUUCCGCCUGAAAUUAGAUUCCACCUGUGUGACCUUGGGUAAGUUAUUUAGCCUUUCUGGGCCUCAGUUUUCCUACAAGUAUAAUGAAGCUAUAGUAGACAAUAUCAUGUCCUGAGGGAUUGUAGACAGAGUUUUAGCAUAAUCCCUGGCACAUAAUAAUUGCUUGAUAAUUUUAUAGCCAUUAUUAUGACAGUGUUGUUUUAUUCAUUAUAUUUAUAUGCAUCCCUACAAUGAACCUCCUUUUCCUGAGGUGACAUGAAUAGGUUUCCCUUCUUUGCAAUUAGCAAAGUCUUCACUAAAAUGAUUCCCCAUUCUUCCAGUGCAUGGUCUUCCUCUCCCUCUCCUUCAUUCUCUCCCCACUUCACCCCCUCUCUCUUACCUAGAACAUCUUUUCCUCUUUAGUCAAAAGAAAUGAUCCUUACACUUCAGAGCUCAUCUCUAUCCCUCCUUCUCCACAAGGCCUUCACUGGUUACUAUAUUCUGAUUUUUGUCUCUUCUGAAUUCCAUCUGCAUCUAUAUAAGACUUUGUAUAGCCAUAUCCAAGACAGUGAUUCCAACUACCAUAGCACCUAAUUGUGUCCUAUUUUGAAUUGUGCUAUUCUUGAUAUUUCAGAUUUGAAUCCUUUUUUUCCCAACAAAACAUAAGGUUUUUGAUGGUAAGAGCUAUGAUUUGCAUUUAUUUAUUUCCCAAAGCAUUUAACAUAACACUAGGAACUACCAAAGAAAUUUAACAAAUUUAUAUCAUUGGCUAAAUCUGUGUAAACCAUGCAGCCUUCCUCCACAAAGUAGUUCUGCCAUUCCAUUUAUCACCUUUGGCUGGCCUGUCCAGCAAUUGUACAAUAUUUAUUUAAUAGUGGAAGACAUAAAAGUAAACAAGUUUAAAGAGGCUCAGUGCAUUUGGGUCUUCUGAUAUAUCUGUAGCUAAUAAACUGUUUGACCUUGGGUAAA